Molecule: ribosomal RNA, 1740 nt
Filed under: Triticum aestivum (bread wheat)
Lineage: Eukaryota; Viridiplantae; Streptophyta; Magnoliopsida; Poales; Poaceae
Description: partial small subunit ribosomal RNA
Source: RNAcentral
AUGAAGCGCGGGACCAACAGCGCGUGCGACCUCCGCGCCGUCUCUCUCCCCCAGCCCCGGAGCGGCGGCGGGAGGGCCGGCGCGCCCCCUGCUUCCUCCUCCGCGGCGUCGGCGGCGGGGAAUCCGCCCCAGGCGGCGCCGUCGCAGCAGCAGCAGGCCUUCUCGCUCCCGCGCCCGAAGCUGCCGCGGCUCCCGGAGUCGGAGGCCUUCGUCGACCAGACCCNNNNNNNNNNNNNNNNNNNNNNNNNCCAGGGAUUUGGCUUGCAUGAUGACUCGUCGGAGAGGAUGCCUCCAUUUCCUCCCACUUCAGCGUCUCGUGCACAAGAAGAACCCCAGCAGCAGCAACCUGUGAUCAUUCCCAGAAGCACUACCCUGCGCUGGAACCCCUCUCCUACAGACACUAGAUGUCGGGUUAACGACGACGCUGAGUGCAGGUUUCAGCAGCUGUCAGGUUCAGUACACAAGGUGGGGAUGGUAUUGGACUCGGUACAAACUGAUGUUAUUCAGUUAAACAGAACCAUGAAGGACGCAUCAGUUGAAUCUGGUGGUGUGCAGCAGAAGUUUGAUCUCCUAGAGGAUACACUUCAGAAAAUUAUUAAAGGACAAAAUGAUCUCAAAGUACUUGCUGAAAACAGCAUGAAAAGCAACUCUGAUCAGCUGAAUGUUCUCAACUCUCGCACCAGCAAAUUGAAUGAGAUGUCUUUGGUCGUUUCAGUCUGCCCAAAACAAGUGCAAGCAGAUUUAAGGGAGCUGCAUGGUGACAUCUUCAGGGUUCUUACAAAGGACAUGGAGGGGGUUGUUAGAGAUAUCAGGUCUCUGAAUACUAGGCCUGCUGCAAUGCCGAUGCUGCCACUGAAGGACAAGAACUUCUCCCCCAAUAAAAGACUACAGAGAAACCAAGUGGUGGCAAAAGGAAUUCCCCUGAUGAACGGAGUGUCUGUAGCGAAUAGAAGACCUACAAUGAACCAGACACCAGUAGCAAAUGGACGACCCCUGAUGAACCAAACACCAGUGAAAAAUGGAAGCCCCAUGAUCAUCAACCAGGCUCCAUUAGGAGGUGGAAGGUCCCAGCUGAAACAAACACCAGUUACACCCCAGAGGGAUCUAACACCAGAGAUAAAUGGAAGGCCCCAGAAGGACCGAAUACCAGUAGCAGAUGGAAGUCCCCAUAUGGAACAAAUUCCGCCAACAAAACCCCUUCCUGCACGUUCCACUUAUGCUACGAGGGCGUCAGUUCUGAAGCCAAAGGUAGAACAGGGUAUGGUAAAAGCAGCUCACAUGGUUGGUACAAACUACAGGCUAGCACCUGCACAGAAAGAGAAGUUGAAUCAAAAGGUCAAUCCCCAAGAGCCAACUAAGAAGGAACCAGUUAAAAUAAUCAUCGGUUCAGAUAAUGACAGUAAAUGGUGCACUACCCGUGCGAUUCUCAACAUGGAACCAGCUGACCUGAUGAAGGAAGUCGGCAGCGAGUCUGGCCCACCGCUUGUGUGGGGGGUGAGGAAGAUGAGGACGAGCAGCGAGACGCUGCCCAUUGAUGCGGCCACCUUGCUGCCAGGAGAAGGGGAGAAGAGGAGGCGGGGACCUGGACGAGACGCACAGAAGGGCGAGGCUGUUCAUGCGGUUGAAGCCGCUCCAGCAAAGCGGGCUCACCGGUUCAACCCCAAGUACGACGCGACCUGUGGAUCACCUACUGAGGCGGCCCGAGAAGCCACGUCGGCGCCGGGCACACUGAUAAAAUGA